GAUUGACCUCGGAUCAGGUAGGGAUACCCGCUGAACUUAAGCAUAUCAAUAAGCGGAGGAAAAGAAACCAACAGGGAUUGCCUCAGUAACGGCGAGUGAAGCGGCAACAGCUCAAAUUUGAAAUCUGGCCCCUCCGGGGUCCGAGUUGUAAUUUGUAGAGGGUGUUUCGGGCGAGGCGCCGGUCUAAGUCCCUUGGAACGGGGCGUCAGAGAGGGUGAGAAUCCCGUACGCGACCGGUGGCCGAGCCUAUGUGAAACCCCUUCGACGAGUCGAGUUGUUUGGGAAUGCAGCUCAAAACGGGUGGUAAAUUUCAUCUAAAGCUAAAUACCGGCCAGAGACCGAUAGCGCACAAGUAGAGUGAUCGAAAGAUGAAAAGCACUUUGGAAAGAGAGUCAAAAAGUACGUGAAAUUGUUGAAAGGGAAGCGCUUGCAACCAGACCUGCCCGCGGGUGAUCAGCCGUCCUUCUGGGCGGUGCACUCGCCCGCGAUCAGGCCAGCAUCGGUUCGGGCGGUCGGAUAAAGGCCUCGGGAACGUGGCUCCCCUCGGGGAGUGUUAUAGCCCCUGGUGCAAUGCGGCCCGCCCGGACCGAGGACCGCGCUUCGGCUAGGAUGCUGGCGUAAUGGUUGUAAGCGGCCCGUCUUGAAACACGGACCAAGGAGUCGACCAACUAUGCGAGUGUUUGGGUGUCAAACCCACACGCGCAAUGAAAGUGAACGGAGGUGGGAACCCCUCGCGGGGCGCACCAUCGACCGAUCCAGAUGUCUUCGGAUGGAUUUGAGUACGAGCAUAGCUGGUCGGACCCGAAAGAUGAUGAACUAUGCCUGAAUAGGGUGAAGCCAGAGGAAACUCUGGUGGAGGCUCGCAGCGGUUCUGACGUGCAAAUCGAUCGUCAAAUUUGGGCAUAGGGGCGAAAGACUAAUCGAAUCAUCUAGUAGCUGGUUCCAGCC
This 948-nucleotide ribosomal RNA is filed under the name Polycauliona candelaria. RNAcentral describes it as "eukaryotic LSU rRNA". It matches the Rfam family "Eukaryotic large subunit ribosomal RNA", at positions 1 to 962 of the family's 3401-position model. The record is from RNAcentral. Lineage: Eukaryota; Fungi; Ascomycota; Lecanoromycetes; Teloschistales; Teloschistaceae.